RNAcentral lists this ribosomal RNA (248 nucleotides) under uncultured bacterium. RNAcentral's name for it is "partial 16S ribosomal RNA". It matches the Rfam family "Bacterial small subunit ribosomal RNA", at positions 84 to 334 of the family's 1533-position model. The record is from RNAcentral.
UUUGAUGGCGACCGGCGCACGGGUGAGUAACACGUAUCCAACCUGCCGAUGACUCGGGGAUAGCCUUUCGAAAGAAAGAUUAAUACCCAUGGCAUAGUUCUUCCGCAUGGUAGAACUAUUAAAGAAUUUCGGUCAUCGAUGGGGAUGCGUUCCAUUAGGUUGUUGGCGGGGUAACGGCCCACCAAGCCUUCGAUGGAUAGGGGUUCUGAGAGGAAGGUCCCCCACAUUGGAACUGAGACACGGUCCAA